RNAcentral lists this non-coding RNA (74 nucleotides) under Xanthomonas campestris pv. nigromaculans. RNAcentral's name for it is "Plasmid transferred anti-sense RNA". It matches the Rfam family "Plasmid transferred anti-sense RNA". Lineage: Bacteria; Pseudomonadati; Pseudomonadota; Gammaproteobacteria; Lysobacterales; Lysobacteraceae. RNAcentral also lists the same sequence under 2 other names. The record is from RNAcentral.
UUGCCAUUUUUCACCUCUCUCACAGGUGGAUAGUGGAAGUGUCGGCCGGCGUUGCAUCGUCGGCCGACGCGCUU